Diabrotica virgifera virgifera (western corn rootworm) is the source of this 274-nucleotide long non-coding RNA. RefSeq lists it as uncharacterized. The record is from RefSeq and is a predicted model, not a curated record. The transcript is spliced from 3 exons. NCBI's taxonomy places the organism in Eukaryota, Metazoa, Arthropoda, Insecta, Coleoptera, Chrysomelidae.
CCGCUUUAGACAAAUUUCACACUUGUGAGGUUUUUAUCCAGUAUGCGUUCUCAAAUGUCUUUUCAAAUUACUUGCUUCAGAACACUGCUUGAAACAAAUUUCACACUUGUACGGUUUUUAUCCAGUAUGCGUUCUCAAAUGUCUUUUCAAAUUACUUGCUUCAGAACACUGCUUGAAACAAAUUUCACACUUGUGAGGUUUUUCUCCAGUGUGCGUUCUCAAAUGUCUUUUCAAAUCACCUGUAGUAAUAAACUGCUUGAAACAAGUUUCACAC